RNAcentral lists this ribosomal RNA (403 nucleotides) under uncultured Eubacteriales bacterium. Its description in RNAcentral is "bacterial SSU rRNA". It matches the Rfam family "Bacterial small subunit ribosomal RNA", at positions 356 to 774 of the family's 1533-position model. The record is from RNAcentral. Lineage: Bacteria; Bacillati; Bacillota; Clostridia; Eubacteriales.
GGGGAAUAUUGCACAAUGGGCGCAAGCCUGAUGCAGCAACGCCGCGUGAGUGAAGAAGGCCUUCGGGUCGUAAAGCUCUGUCCUGUGGGACGAAACAAAUGACGGUACCACAGGAGGAAGCCCCGGCUAACUACGUGCCAGCAGCCGCGGUAAUACGUAGGGGGCAAGCGUUAUCCGGAAUCACUGGGCGUAAAGGGUGCGUAGGUGGCCUAUCAAGUCAGAAGUGAAAGGCAGUGGCUUAACCACUGUAAGCUUUUGAAACUGAUGGGCUUGAGUGCAGGAGAGGUAAGUGGAAUUCCUAGUGUAGCGGUGAAAUGCGUAGAUAUUAGGAGGAACACCAGUGGCGAAGGCGACUUACUGGACUGUAACUGACACUGAGGCACGAAAGCGUGGGGAGCGAACA